This 476-nucleotide ribosomal RNA is filed under the name uncultured bacterium. RNAcentral describes it as "bacterial SSU rRNA". It matches the Rfam family "Bacterial small subunit ribosomal RNA", at positions 28 to 518 of the family's 1533-position model. The record is from RNAcentral.
GACGAACGCUGGCGGCGUGCCUAACACAUGCAAGUCGAACGGAGAUAUGAUUUCGGUUGUAUCUUAGUGGCGAACGGGUGAGUAACGCGUGAACAACCUGACUCUAAGAGGGGGAUAACACUCGGAAACGGGUGCUAAUACCGCAUAAGACCACGACCUGGCAUCAGGAUGAGGUCAAAGGAGCAAUCCGCUGAGAGAGGGGUUCGCGUCCCAUUAGAUAGAUGGCGGGGUAACGGCCCACCAUGUCAACGAUGGGUAGCCGAGCUGAGAGGCUGAUCGGCCACACUGGAACUGAGACACGGUCCAGACUCCUACGGGAGGCAGCAGUGGGGAAUAUUGGGCAAUGGGCGCAAGCCUGACCCAGCAACGCCGCGUGAGGGAAGAAGGCUUUCGGGUUGUAAACCUCUGUCCUUGGUGACGAAACAAAUGACGGUAGCCAAGGAGGAAGCCCCGGCUAACUACGUGCCAGCAGCCGC